AUGACUGUGUCGCUCCUAACCGGAACGGGGAAGUUCAACAUCAGCGGCGCUGUCGUGGCUAGACCUGCAGGGAGUGCAGGCCAAGCUGCGCCGGGUGCACCGCCUGUUCGACGGACUCAACAUGAAACUGUUGGUGGAGCACGCGGCAACGGCCGAGGAGCGCGCCCGGGAGGAGGGCCGGCUGGACUUCGUGGACAUGCUCCGGUUGGUGGCCUGGAGCAUGCCGGGGCGAGACGGACAACGUGA
Molecule: ribosomal RNA, 246 nt
Filed under: Triticum aestivum (bread wheat)
Lineage: Eukaryota; Viridiplantae; Streptophyta; Magnoliopsida; Poales; Poaceae
Description: partial small subunit ribosomal RNA
Source: RNAcentral